RNAcentral lists this ribosomal RNA (2905 nucleotides) under Escherichia coli. RNAcentral's name for it is "23S ribosomal RNA". It matches the Rfam family "Bacterial large subunit ribosomal RNA". The record is from RNAcentral. Lineage: Bacteria; Pseudomonadati; Pseudomonadota; Gammaproteobacteria; Enterobacterales; Enterobacteriaceae.
GGUUAAGCGACUAAGCGUACACGGUGGAUGCCCUGGCAGUCAGAGGCGAUGAAGGACGUGCUAAUCUGCGAUAAGCGUCGGUAAGGUGAUAUGAACCGUUAUAACCGGCGAUUUCCGAAUGGGGAAACCCAGUGUGUUUCGUCACACUAUCAUUAACUGAAUCCAUAGGUUAAUGAGGCGAACCGGGGGAACUGAAACAUCUAAGUACCCCGAGGAAAAGAAAUCAACCGAGAUUCCCCCAGUAGCGGCGAGCGAACGGGGAGGAGCCCAGAGCCUGAAUCAGUGUGUGUGUUAGUGGAAGCGUCUGGAAAGGCGCGCGAUACAGGGUGACAGCCCCGUACACAAAAACGCACAUGCUGUGAGCUCGAUGAGUAGGGCGGGACACGUGGUAUCCUGUCUGAAUAUGGGGGGACCAUCCUCCAAGGCUAAAUACUCCUGACUGACCGAUAGUGAACCAGUACCGUGAGGGAAAGGCGAAAAGAACCCCGGCGAGGGGAGUGAAAAAGAACCUGAAACCGUGUACGUACAAGCAGUGGGAGCACAGAGCAAUCUGUGUGACUGCGUACCUUUUGUAUAAUGGGUCAGCGACUUAUAUUCUGUAGCAAGGUUAACCGAAUAGGGGAGCCGAAGGGAAACCGAGUCUUAACUGGGCGUUAAGUUGCAGGGUAUAGACCCGAAACCCGGUGAUCUAGCCAUGGGCAGGUUGAAGGUUGGGUAACACUAACUGGAGGACCGAACCGACUAAUGUUGAAAAAUUAGCGGAUGACUUGUGGCUGGGGGUGAAAGGCCAAUCAAACCGGGAGAUAGCUGGUUCUCCCCGAAAGCUAUUUAGGUAGCGCCUCGUGAAUUCAUCUCCGGGGGUAGAGCACUGUUUCGGCAAGGGGGUCAUCCCGACUUACCAACCCGAUGCAAACUGCGAAUACCGGAGAAUGUUAUCACGGGAGACACACGGCGGGUGCUAACGUCCGUCGUGAAGAGGGAAACAACCCAGACCGCCAGCUAAGGUCCCAAAGUCAUGGUUAAGUGGGAAACGAUGUGGGAAGGCCCAGACAGCCAGGAUGUUGGCUUAGAAGCAGCCAUCAUUUAAAGAAAGCGUAAUAGCUCACUGGUCGAGUCGGCCUGCGCGGAAGAUGUAACGGGGCUAAACCAUGCACCGAAGCUGCGGCAGCGACACUAUGUGUUGUUGGGUAGGGGAGCGUUCUGUAAGCCUGUGAAGGUGUACUGUGAGGUAUGCUGGAGGUAUCAGAAGUGCGAAUGCUGACAUAAGUAACGAUAAAGCGGGUGAAAAGCCCGCUCGCCGGAAGACCAAGGGUUCCUGUCCAACGUUAAUCGGGGCAGGGUGAGUCGACCCCUAAGGCGAGGCCGAAAGGCGUAGUCGAUGGGAAACAGGUUAAUAUUCCUGUACUUGGUGUUACUGCGAAGGGGGGACGGAGAAGGCUAUGUUGGCCGGGCGACGGUUGUCCCGGUUUAAGCGUGUAGGCUGGUUUUCCAGGCAAAUCCGGAAAAUCAAGGCUGAGGCGUGAUGACGAGGCACUACGGUGCUGAAGCAACAAAUGCCCUGCUUCCAGGAAAAGCCUCUAAGCAUCAGGUAACAUCAAAUCGUACCCCAAACCGACACAGGUGGUCAGGUAGAGAAUACCAAGGCGCUUGAGAGAACUCGGGUGAAGGAACUAGGCAAAAUGGUGCCGUAACUUCGGGAGAAGGCACGCUGAUAUGUAGGUGAAGUCCCUUGCGGAUGGAGCUGAAAUCAGUCGAAGAUACCAGCUGGCUGCAACUGUUUAUUAAAAACACAGCACUGUGCAAACACGAAAGUGGACGUAUACGGUGUGACGCCUGCCCGGUGCCGGAAGGUUAAUUGAUGGGGUCAGCGCAAGCGAAGCUCUUGAUCGAAGCCCCGGUAAACGGCGGCCGUAACUAUAACGGUCCUAAGGUAGCGAAAUUCCUUGUCGGGUAAGUUCCGACCUGCACGAAUGGCGUAAUGAUGGCCAGGCUGUCUCCACCCGAGACUCAGUGAAAUUGAACUCGCUGUGAAGAUGCAGUGUACCCGCGGCAAGACGGAAAGACCCCGUGAACCUUUACUAUAGCUUGACACUGAACAUUGAGCCUUGAUGUGUAGGAUAGGUGGGAGGCUUUGAAGUGUGGACGCCAGUCUGCAUGGAGCCGACCUUGAAAUACCACCCUUUAAUGUUUGAUGUUCUAACGUGGACCCGUGAUCCGGGUUGCGGACAGUGUCUGGUGGGUAGUUUGACUGGGGCGGUCUCCUCCUAAAGAGUAACGGAGGAGCACGAAGGUUGGCUAAUCCUGGUCGGACAUCAGGAGGUUAGUGCAAUGGCAUAAGCCAGCUUGACUGCGAGCGUGACGGCGCGAGCAGGUGCGAAAGCAGGUCAUAGUGAUCCGGUGGUUCUGAAUGGAAGGGCCAUCGCUCAACGGAUAAAAGGUACUCCGGGGAUAACAGGCUGAUACCGCCCAAGAGUUCAUAUCGACGGCGGUGUUUGGCACCUCGAUGUCGGCUCAUCACAUCCUGGGGCUGAAGUAGGUCCCAAGGGUAUGGCUGUUCGCCAUUUAAAGUGGUACGCGAGCUGGGUUUAGAACGUCGUGAGACAGUUCGGUCCCUAUCUGCCGUGGGCGCUGGAGAACUGAGGGGGGCUGCUCCUAGUACGAGAGGACCGGAGUGGACGCAUCACUGGUGUUCGGGUUGUCAUGCCAAUGGCACUGCCCGGUAGCUAAAUGCGGAAGAGAUAAGUGCUGAAAGCAUCUAAGCACGAAACUUGCCCCGAGAUGAGUUCUCCCUGACUCCUUGAGAGUCCUGAAGGAACGUUGAAGACGACGACGUUGAUAGGCCGGGUGUGUAAGCGCAGCGAUGCGUUGAGCUAACCGGUACUAAUGAACCGUGAGGCUUAACCUU